CGGAGCUUGCUCCACCGGAAAAAGARGAGUGGCGAACGGGUGAGUAACACGUGGGUAACCUGCCCAUCAGAAGGGGAUAACACUUGGAAACAGGUGCUAAUACCGUAUAACAAUCGAAACCGCAUGGUUUUGAUUUGAAAGGCGCUUUCGGGUGUCGCUGAUGGAUGGACCCGCGGUGCAUUAGCUAGUUGGUGAGGUAACGGCUCACCAAGGCCACGAUGCAUAGCCGACCUGAGAGGGUGAUCGGCCACAUUGGGACUGAGACACGGCCCAAACUCCUACGGGAGGCAGCAGUAGGGAAUCUUCGGCAAUGGACGAAAGUCUGACCGAGCAACGCCGCGUGAGUGAAGAAGGUUUUCGGAUCGUAAAACUCUGUUGUUAGAGAAGAACAAGGAUGAGAGUAACUGUUCAUCCCUUGACGGUAUCUAACCAGAAAGCCACGGCUAACUACGUGCCAGCAGCCGCGGUAAUACGUAGGUGGCAAGCGUUGUCCGGAUUUAUUGGGCGUAAAGCGAGCGCAGGCGGUUUCUUAAGUCUGAUGUGAAAGCCCCCGGCUCAACCGGGGAGGGUCAUUGGAAACUGGGAGACUUGAGUGCAGAAGAGGAGAGUGGAAUUCCAUGUGUAGCGGUGAAAUGCGUAGAUAUAUGGAGGAACACCAGUGGCGAAGGCGGCUCUCUGGUCUGUAACUGACGCUGAGGCUCGAAAGCGUGGGGAGCAAACAGGAUUAGAUACCCUGGUAGUCCACGCCGUAAACGAUGAGUGCUAA
Molecule: ribosomal RNA, 766 nt
Filed under: Enterococcus sp. FBPers-11_02-08
Lineage: Bacteria; Bacillati; Bacillota; Bacilli; Lactobacillales; Enterococcaceae
Description: bacterial SSU rRNA
Rfam family: Bacterial small subunit ribosomal RNA
Source: RNAcentral